CCACCUUGGCCUCGUAAAGUGCUGGGAUUACAGGCAUGAGUCACCGCACAGGGCCAAACAAACAAACAAACAAACAAAAAAACACUUAACACUUAAAAUAAAUCCAAGCCAGUCACAGUGGUGUGCACCUGUAGUCCCAGCUACUCAGGAGGCUGAGGCAAGAGGAUCCCUUGAGCCCAGGAAAUGGUUUUUCAAUAUGGUGUGAAGUAGGGAUCAAGUUUCAUCCCCUCCAGUAUGUGUAUCCGGUUGUCUCAUCUUUUUCACACUGCUCUACUGUUCUACAUUUUUUCAUUAAUUGGGUCCAUAUGUCCAUAUUUGAGUGGCUGAGUUCUCUAUUCUGUUCCAUUGUUCUCUUUGAUACCACACUGUCUUAAUGAGUAUCGUUUUACAUUCAUGCUUUAUAUUCAUGUCCAUAUUUGAGUGGCUUUGUUUCUGAGCUUUAUAUAUUCCGUUCCACUGUUCUCUUUGUCUUUGAUUCAAUACCAUACUCCCAGCUAUUCAGGAGGCUAAGGCAGGAGAAUCGCUUGAACCCAGGAGGCGGAGGUUGCAGUGAGCCGAGGUCGUGCCAUUGCACUCCAGCCUGGGCAAUAAAAGCAAAACUCCAUCUC
This 608-nucleotide long non-coding RNA is filed under the name Homo sapiens (human). Its description in RNAcentral is "non-protein coding lnc-ITGA9-5:1". The record is from RNAcentral. Lineage: Eukaryota; Metazoa; Chordata; Mammalia; Primates; Hominidae.